This 448-nucleotide RNase P RNA is filed under the name Roseateles aquae. Its description in RNAcentral is "RNase P RNA component class A". It matches the Rfam family "Bacterial RNase P class A". From Rfam's summary of the family: Ribonuclease P (RNase P) is a ubiquitous endoribonuclease, found in archaea, bacteria and eukarya as well as chloroplasts and mitochondria. Its best characterised activity is the generation of mature 5'-ends of tRNAs by cleaving the 5'-leader elements of precursor-tRNAs. Cellular RNase Ps are ribonucleoproteins. Lineage: Bacteria; Pseudomonadati; Pseudomonadota; Betaproteobacteria; Burkholderiales; Sphaerotilaceae. The record is from RNAcentral.
GAAGCAAGCCAGACCGCCGCUGGUGCAAGCGUGGAAACACGGCACUGGAGGAAGGUCCGGACUGCAUAGAGCAGCGUAGCAGCUAACGGCUGCCCGGCGAAAGCCGAGGAUCAGAGCAACAGAGACGAGUCGGUGAUGGGUCCAUCACGGGGUGGUCUGGGCGGCGCCAGCGCAAGCUGGCGCGGGGUGAGGCGAAAGCCUCGCACCGUCGGGCGAAAGCCCGAACCGACCAGCACCCGGUGGUGGGCAAAGCCCACCACCGGGUGAAACGGGCAAUCUCUACGCGCAGCAACACCAAGUAGGCCAGCGUUGAUGCGGCUCGCAGAGCUGGCGGGUAGGUGGCACCGAGCCGUGCAGUGAUGCGCGGCCAAGAGGAAUGGCGGUCACAAGGCCUGGCCCGCAAGGGUCAGGUCUUGCACAGAAUCCGGCCUAUCGGCUUGCUUCACAU